CCUACGGGAGGCAGCAGUGGGGAAUAUUGCACAAUGGGGGAAACCCUUAUGCAGCGACGCCGCGUGAGUGAAGAAGUAUUUCGGUAUGUAAAGCUCUAUCAGCAGGAACGAGACAAGACGGUACCUGACUAAGAAGCCCCGGCUAACUACGUGCCAGCAGCCGCGGUAAUACGUAGGGGGCAAGCGUUAUCCGGACUCACUGGUUGUAACGGGAGCGUAGACGGCUGAGCAAGCCUGAAGUGAAAGGCGGGGGCCCAACCCCCGGACUGCUUUGGGAACUGUAGGGCUGGAGUGCAGGAGAGGUAAGUGGAAUGCCUAGUGUAGCGGUGAAAUGCGUAGAGAGUAGGAGGAACACCAGUGGCGAAGGCGGCUUACUGGACUGUAACUGACGUUGAGGCUCGAAAGCGUGGGGAGCAAACAGGAUUAGAUACCCCUGUAGUC
Molecule: ribosomal RNA, 441 nt
Filed under: uncultured bacterium
Lineage: Bacteria
Description: partial 16S ribosomal RNA
Rfam family: Bacterial small subunit ribosomal RNA
Source: RNAcentral